Non-coding RNA from Vicia faba (fava bean), 306 nucleotides. NCBI's taxonomy places the organism in Eukaryota, Viridiplantae, Streptophyta, Magnoliopsida, Fabales, Fabaceae. The record is from the annotation of a GenBank genome assembly.
AUGAAGAUUUGCAUUGAAAGAGGUUGGUCUAAGGUUUGGUUUAAAACUGAUUCUAGUUCAAUUGUCAAAGCUUUUACCGACCAUAAUUUAGUUCCUCUCAUUUUUAGAAAUAGAUGGCGUUUCUGCCUCCUUCAUCAUAGAUUUUCUCACAUUAUCAUCACUCACAUCUAUAGAGAAGGUAAUACUUGUGCCAUUUUUUUGAUAAAUUUCGUGCUCGACAUUAAUUCUACCACUUUUUUUGAUUCCAUACCUCCGGGUAUUCAUAAUGAUUUUGUGAAGAAUAGGUUAAGACUUACCGUUCUUUAG